AGCGGCGGACGGGUGAGUAACACGUGGGUAACCUGCCUGUAAGACUGGGAUAACUCCGGGAAACCGGGGCUAAUACCGGAUGGUUGUCUGAACCGCAUGGUUCAGACAUAAAAGGUGGCUUCGGCUACCACUUACAGAUGGACCCGCGGCGCAUUAGCUAGUUGGUGAGGUAACGGCUCACCAAGGCGACGAUGCGUAGCCGACCUGAGAGGGUGAUCGGCCACACUGGGACUGAGACACGGCCCAGACUCCUACGGGAGGCAGCAGUAGGGAAUCUUCCGCAAUGGACGAAAGUCUGACGGAGCAACGCCGCGUGAGUGAUGAAGGUUUUCGGAUCGUAAAGCUCUGUUGUUAGGGAAGAACAAGUGCCGUUCAAAUAGGGCGGCACCUUGACGGUACCUAACCAGAAAGCCACGGCUAACUACGUGCCAGCAGCCGCGGUAAUACGUAGGUGGCAAGCGUUGUCCGGAAUUAUUGGGCGUAAAGGGCUCGCAGGCGGUUUCUUAAGUCUGAUGUGAAAGCCCCCGGCUCAACCGGGGAGGGUC
RNAcentral lists this ribosomal RNA (545 nucleotides) under Bacillus amyloliquefaciens. RNAcentral's name for it is "bacterial SSU rRNA". It matches the Rfam family "Bacterial small subunit ribosomal RNA", at positions 94 to 624 of the family's 1533-position model. The record is from RNAcentral. Lineage: Bacteria; Bacillati; Bacillota; Bacilli; Caryophanales; Bacillaceae.